Molecule: long non-coding RNA, 992 nt
Filed under: Homo sapiens (human)
Lineage: Eukaryota; Metazoa; Chordata; Mammalia; Primates; Hominidae
Description: HSALNT0288255
Source: RNAcentral
CACAAGGCCCCUUUAGGCAGAGCUUAGACCAGAGUUACAUCACCUGGAUGAUCAUUGCAGAGAUAUGUCACAAUGUCCCCAUAGGCAAAUCCAAGACAAGCGUUCGUCACCUGGGUGAUCAUUGCAGAAAUAUGUGACAAUGCCCUCAGGAGGCGGAGCCUACAGAAGAGUCCAAUCACCUGCGUGAUCAGUGCAGAGAUAUUUCACAAUGCCCCUGCAGGCAGAGUGUAAGCAAGAGUUACAUCACCUAGAUGAUCAGUGCAGAGAUAUGUCACAAGGCCCCCUAUACGCAGAGUCGGACAAGAGUUACAUCACCUCAGUGAUCAAUGCAGUGAUAUGUCACUAUGCCCCGUAGGCAGAGCCUAGUCAAGCGUUACAUCACCUGGGUGAUUACUGCAGAGAUAUGUCACAAAGUCCCCAUACACAGAGCCUAGACAAGAGUCCCAUCACCUGGGUGAUCAGUGCAGAAAUAUGUCACAAUGCCCCUAUAGGCCGAUCGAAGACAAGAGUCCUUCACCUGGGUGAUCAGUGCAGAAAUAUGUCACAAUGCCCCCUUAGGCAGAGCCUAGAUAAAAGCCCCAUCACCUGGAUGAUCAGUGCAGAGUUAUGUCACAAAUUCCCUUUAGGCAGAUCCUAGAGAAAGGUUACAUCACUUGGAUGAUCAGUGCAGAGAUAUGUCACUAUGCUACAGUAGGCAGAGCCUAGACUAGAGUUACAUGACCUCGGUGAUCAGUGCAGAGAUACAUCGCAAUGUCCCUGUAGGCAGAGCCUUGACAAGUGGUACAUCACCUGGGUGAUCAUUGCAGGGAUAUGUCACAAAGCACCCUGUAGGCAGAUCCUAGAGAAGAGUUAUAUCACCUGGGUGAUCAGUGCAGAGAUAUGUCACAAGCCCACUUUAGGCAGAGCCUAGACAAGAGUUACAUCUCCUCGGUGAUCAAUGCAGUGAUAUGUCACUAUGCCCCGUAGGCAGAGCGUAGACAAGAGUUACAUCA